Molecule: ribosomal RNA, 351 nt
Filed under: Blaptica sp. MNHN PG1
Lineage: Eukaryota; Metazoa; Arthropoda; Insecta; Blattodea; Blaberidae
Description: partial 12S ribosomal RNA
Source: RNAcentral
UUGAGAUCUAAAUUAUUAACUUGAGUAGUAGUAGUUAUGAUCUUGAAACUUAAAGAAUUUGGCGGUAUCUUAAUCUAUUUAGAGGAAUCUGUCCCGUUAUCGAUAAUCCGCGUUGAACCUUACUUAAUUUAAUUAGUUUGUAUACCGCCGUUUUAUGACAAUCUUUAUAGAGUAAAAUUUUCAUGAGAUAUAAAUUUAUAGAAUUUCAGGUCAAGGUGCAAUUUAUAAUUAAGUGGUGAUGGAUUACAUUAUUUGAAAAUAGAUGAAUUAUAAAUUGAAAAUUUUUUAUGAAGGUGGAUUUAAUAGUAAUAUUUUAUAUACUGUAAAUGUGAUAUUAGCUCUAGGAUGUGU